GCCCCCUUAGCUCAGGGGAUAGAGCACCGGCCUCCGGAGCCGGGUGCGCUGGUUCGAAUCCAGCAGGGGGCG
Molecule: transfer RNA, 72 nt
Filed under: Actinoallomurus purpureus
Lineage: Bacteria; Bacillati; Actinomycetota; Actinomycetes; Streptosporangiales; Thermomonosporaceae
Also listed under: 10 other names
Description: tRNA-Arg
Rfam family: tRNA
About the family: Transfer RNA (tRNA) molecules are approximately 80 nucleotides in length. Their secondary structure includes four short double-helical elements and three loops (D, anti-codon, and T loops).
Source: RNAcentral